Molecule: unclassified non-coding RNA, 520 nt
Filed under: uncultured Glomus
Lineage: Eukaryota; Fungi; Glomeromycota; Glomeromycetes; Glomerales; Glomeraceae
Description: SSU rRNA
Rfam family: Eukaryotic small subunit ribosomal RNA
Source: RNAcentral
CGCAGCCGCGGUAAUUCCAGCUCCAAUAGCGUAUAUUAAAGUUGUUGCAGUUAAAAGCUCGUAGUUGAAUUUCGGGGUCAGCAGGUCGGUCGUGCCACUGGUAUGUACUGGCUUUGCUGAUUCCUCCCUCUUGACGAACCGUAAUGCCAUUAAUUUGGUGUUGCGGGAAAUCAGGACUGUUACUUUGAAAAAUUAGAGUGUUUAAAGCAGGCUUACGCUUGAAUACAUUAGCAUGGAAUAAUGAAAUAGGACGUUCGAUCCUAUUUUGUUGGUUUUUAGGAUUGACGUAAUGAUUAAUAGGGAUAGUUGGGGGCAUUAGUAUUCAAUUGUCAGAGGUGAAAUUCUUGGAUUUAUUGAAGACUAACUACUGCGAAAGCAUUUGCCAAGGAUGUUUUCAUUAAUCAAGAACGAAAGUUAGGGAUCGAAGACGAUCAGAUACCGUCGUAGUCUUAACCAUAAACUAUAGCCGACUAGGGAUCGGAUGGAUGUUAAUUUUUAAUGUACUCAUUCGGCGCCUUAC